Molecule: ribosomal RNA, 253 nt
Filed under: uncultured bacterium
Lineage: Bacteria
Description: partial 16S ribosomal RNA
Rfam family: Bacterial small subunit ribosomal RNA
Source: RNAcentral
UACGUAGGUGGCAAGCGUUGUCCGGAUUUACUGGGCGUAAAGAGCGCGCAGGCGGUCGUUCAAGUCGCGUGUGAAAGCCCCCGGCUCAACUGGGGAGGGUCACGCGAUACUGGUCGACUCGAGGGCAGGAGAGGGUAGUGGAAUUCCCGGUGUAGCGGUGAAAUGCGUAGAUAUUGGGAGGAACACCAGUGGCGAAGGCGGCUCACUGGACCGGAACUGACGCUGAGGCGCGAAAGCGUGGGGAGCAAACAGG